AGAGUUUGAUCCUGGCUCAGGAUGAACGCUAGCUACAGGCUCAACACAUGCAAGUCGAGGGGCAGCAUGGUCUUAGCUUGCUAAGGCCGAUGGCGACCGGCGCACGGGUGAGUAACACGUAUCCAACCUGCCGUCUACUCUUGGACAGCCUUCUGAAAGGAAGAUUAAUACAAGAUGGCAUCAUGAGUCCGCAUGUUCACAUGAUUAAAGGUAUUCCGGUAGACGAUGGGGAUGCGUUCCAUUAGAUAGUAGGCGGGGUAACGGCCCACCUAGUCUUCGAUGGAUAGGGGUUCUGAGAGGAAGGUCCCCCACAUUGGAACUGAGACACGGUCCAAACUCCUACGGGAGGCAGCAGUGAGGAAUAUUGGUCAAUGGGCGAGAGCCUGAACCAGCCAAGUAGCGUGAAGGAUGACUGCCCUAUGGGUUGUAAACUUCUUUUAUAAAGGAAUAAAGUCGGGUAUGGAUACCCGUUUGCAUGUACUUUAUGAAUAAGGAUCGGCUAACUCCGUGCCAGCAGCCGCGGUAAUACGGAGGAUCCGAGCGUUAUCCGGAUUUAUUGGGUUUAAAGGGAGCGUAGAUGGAUGUUUAAGUCAGUUGUGAAAGUUUGCGGCUCAACCGUAAAAUUGCAGUUGAUACUGGAUAUCUUGAGUGCAGUUGAGGCAGGCGGAAUUCGUGGUGUAGCGGUGAAAUGCUUAGAUAUCACGAAGAACUCCGAUUGCGAAGGCAGCCUGCUAAGCUGCAACUGACAUUGAGGCUCGAAAGUGUGGGUAUCAAACAGGAUUAGAUACCCUGGUAGUCCACACGGUAAACGAUGAAUACUCGCUGUUUGCGAUAUACUGCAAGCGGCCAAGCGAAAGCGUUAAGUAUUCCACCUGGGGAGUACGCCGGCAACGGUGAAACUCAAAGGAAUUGACGGGGGCCCGCACAAGCGGAGGAACAUGUGGUUUAAUUCGAUGAUACGCGAGGAACCUUACCCGGGCUUAAAUUGCAGAUGAAUUACGGUGAAAGCCGUAAGCCGCAAGGCAUCUGUGAAGGUGCUGCAUGGUUGUCGUCAGCUCGUGCCGUGAGGUGUCGGCUUAAGUGCCAUAACGAGCGCAACCCUUGUUGUCAGUUACUAACAGGUUCUGCUGAGGACUCUGACAAGACUGCCAUCGUAAGAUGUGAGGAAGGUGGGGAUGACGUCAAAUCAGCACGGCCCUUACGUCCGGGGCUACACACGUGUUACAAUGGGGGGUACAGAGGGCCGCUACCACGCGAGUGGAUGCCAAUCCCAAAAACCUCUCUCAGUUCGGACUGGAGUCUGCAACCCGACUCCACGAAGCUGGAUUCGCUAGUAAUCGCGCAUCAGCCACGGCGCGGUGAAUACGUUCCCGGGCCUUGUACACACCGCCCGUCAAGCCAUGGGAGCCGGGGGUACCUGAAGUGCGUAACCGCGAGGAGCGCCCUAGGGUAAAACUGGUGACUGGGGCUAAGUCGUAACAAGGUAACCG
This 1490-nucleotide ribosomal RNA is filed under the name uncultured bacterium. RNAcentral's name for it is "16S ribosomal RNA". It matches the Rfam family "Bacterial small subunit ribosomal RNA". The record is from RNAcentral.